This 437-nucleotide ribosomal RNA is filed under the name Pomacea bridgesi. RNAcentral's name for it is "SSU rRNA". It matches the Rfam family "Eukaryotic small subunit ribosomal RNA", at positions 17 to 438 of the family's 1831-position model. The record is from RNAcentral. Lineage: Eukaryota; Metazoa; Mollusca; Gastropoda; Architaenioglossa; Ampullariidae.
CCAGUAGUCAUAUGCUUGUCUCAAAGAUUAAGCCAUGCAUGUCUAAGUUCACACCCUCGUACGGUGAAACCGCGAAUGGCUCAUUAAAUCAGUCGAGGUUCCUUAGAUGAUCCAAAUCUACUUGGAUAACUGUGGCAAUUCUAGAGCUAAUACAUGCAAACCAGCUCCGACCCGGUGUCACAGCCGGGAAAGAGCGCUUUUAUUAGUUCAAAACCAGUCGGGGUCUCGGCCCCGUCCCUUUUGGUGACUCUGGAUAACUUUGUGCCGAUCGCAUGGCCUCGAGCCGGCGACGCAUCUUUCAAAUGUCUGCCCUAUCAAAUGUCGAUGGUACGUGAUAGGCCUACCAUGUUGACUACGGGUAACGGGGAAUCAGGGUUCGAUUCCGGAGAGGGAGCAUGAGAAAGGGCUACCACAUCCAAGGAAGGCAGAGGCGCGCA